AAAUGAAUUGACGGGGGCCCGCACAAGCAGCGGAGCAUGUUGUUUAAUUCGAAGCAACGCGAAGAACCUUACCAUGUCUUGACAUCGAUCCAAGGCUGCAGAGAUGCGGCGUGUUCUUCGGAACAGGAGAAGACAGGUGGUGCAUGGUUGUCGUCAGCUCGUGUCGUGAGAUGUUGGGUUAAGUCCCGCAACGAGCGCAACCCUUAUGGUCAGUUACUAACGCGUGAUGGCGAGGACUCUGACAAGACUGCCGGGGACAACUCGGAGGAAGGUGGGGACGACGUCAAAUCAUCAUGCCCCUUAUGACAUGGGCUACAAACGUGCUACAAUGGUGGCCACAAAGAGGAGCGAACCUGUAAAGGCAAGCGGAUCUCAAAAAAGCCAUCUCAGUUCGGACUGUGGGCUGCAACCCGCCCACACGAAGUUGGAGUUGCUAGUAAUCGCGGAUCAGCAUGCCGCGGUGAAUACGUUCCCGGGCCUUGUACACACCGCCCGU
RNAcentral lists this ribosomal RNA (496 nucleotides) under uncultured bacterium. RNAcentral describes it as "bacterial SSU rRNA". It matches the Rfam family "Bacterial small subunit ribosomal RNA", at positions 903 to 1397 of the family's 1533-position model. The record is from RNAcentral.